Nyctereutes procyonoides (raccoon dog) is the source of this 107-nucleotide small nuclear RNA. Lineage: Eukaryota; Metazoa; Chordata; Mammalia; Carnivora; Canidae. The record is from RefSeq and is a predicted model, not a curated record.
GUGCUCGCUUCGGUGGCAUAUAUACUAAAAUUGGAACAAUACAGAGAAGAUUAGCAUGGUGCCUGUGCAAGGAUGAUAUGCAAAUUCAUGAAGCAGUCCAUAUUUUU